AGUCGAGGGGUAGUAUAGCAAUAUACGAGACCGGCGCACGGGUGCGUAACGCGUAUGCAACCUACCUUUUACAGGGGAAUAGCCCAGAGAAAUUUGGAUUAAUGCCCCAUGGUAUAUACCUUUCGCAUGUUAGGUAUAUUAAAGUUCCAACGGUAAAAGAUGGGCAUGCGUCCUAUUAGCUGGAUGGUAAGGUAACGGCUUACCAUGGCUACGAUAGGUAGGGGUCCUGAGAGGGAGAUCCCCCACACUGGUACUGAGACACGGACCAGACUCCUACGGGAGGCAGCAGUGAGGAAUAUUGGACAAUGGGCGCAAGCCUGAUCCAGCCAUGCCGCGUGCAGGAAGACGGUCCUAUGGAUUGUAAACUGCUUUUGUACGGGAAGAAACACUCCUACGUGUAGGAGCUUGACGGUACCGUAAGAAUAAGGAUCGGCUAACUCCGUGCCAGCAGCCGCGGUAAUACGGAGGAUCCAAGCGUUAUCCGGAAUCAUUGGGUUUAAAGGGUCCGUAGGCGGUUUGAUAAGUCAGUGGUGAAAGCCCAUCGCUCAACGAUGGAACGGCCAUUGAUACUGUCAGACUUGAAUUACUGGGAAGUAACUAGAAUAUGUAGUGUAGCGGUGAAAUGCUUAGAUAUUACAUGGAAUACCAAUUGCGAAGGCAGGUUACUACCAGUGUAUUGACGCUGAUGGACGAAAGCGUGGGGAGCGAACAGGAUUAGAUACCCUGGUAGUCCACGCCGUANACGAUGGAUACUAGCUGUUCGGGGCAACCUGAGUGGCUAAGCGAAAGUGAUAAGUAUCCCACCUGGGGAGUACGUUUCGCAGAAUGAAACUCAAAGGAAUUGAC
Molecule: ribosomal RNA, 846 nt
Filed under: uncultured Bacteroidota bacterium
Lineage: Bacteria; Pseudomonadati; Bacteroidota
Description: bacterial SSU rRNA
Rfam family: Bacterial small subunit ribosomal RNA
Source: RNAcentral